Molecule: ribosomal RNA, 469 nt
Filed under: uncultured bacterium
Lineage: Bacteria
Description: partial 16S ribosomal RNA
Rfam family: Bacterial small subunit ribosomal RNA
Source: RNAcentral
GACGAACGCUGGCGGCGUGCUUAACACAUGCCAGUCGAACGGAAAGGCCCUGCUUGCAGGGUGCUCGAGUGGCGAACGGGUGAGUAACACGUGGGUGAUCUGCCCCUUACUUUGGGAUAAGCCUGGGAAACUGGGUCUAAUACUGGAUAGGACCAUGCUGUAGGCGGUGUGGUGGAAAGAUUAGUUUCGGUAAGGGAUGAGCUCGCGGCCUAUCAGCUUGUUGGUGGGGUAAUGGCCUACCAAGGCGUCGACGGGUGGCCGGCCUGAGAGGGUGGACGGCCACCUUGGGACUGAGAUACGGCGCAGACUCCUGCGGGAGGCAGCAGUGGGGAAUAUUGCACAAUGGGCGCAAGCCUGAUGCAGCGACGCCGCGUGGGGGGUGACGGCCUUCGGGUUGUAAACUCCUUUCAGCCAUGACGAAGCCCUUGUGGUGACGGUAGUGGUAGAAGAAGCACCGGCUAACUACGUG